Molecule: long non-coding RNA, 464 nt
Organism: Helianthus annuus (common sunflower)
Lineage: Eukaryota; Viridiplantae; Streptophyta; Magnoliopsida; Asterales; Asteraceae
Exons: 3
Source: RefSeq, a predicted model, not a curated record
UGGUUAGAACUUUGGUUAAAACGGUGGUCUAAAGAUAACGCCUACCGGGUAAUUAAAGAAUGCUAAAACUAGUCGAUGAACUCGAAUAUGCAAUUAGUAUACUAAUGGGCAUUUGACUUUUUAAAAGUCAAACUGACCUAUAAUCCGAUAAAUGGUAAUCUUUGGUAUGAAAUGCGUAAGGUGGAAUAAUCGUAUUAAAUUGUGAUUAAACUAACCACCUUGAAAACAAUGAUGAUAGUUUGACGCGUAACAAGCUAGGUGGAAGCUUGAUGAGGGAGCGGGUCAAACGAAUCAAGAAGGAAAGGAAAAAAGCAUAGUUCGGACACGAGGAGCGAAUGGUAAUUGGGAUAAUUGCGUCGCCAUAGAAUAUCGGUAAUAAAAAGCAAGGUGUUGAAACGGGUCACUAGGUUGACUCGAGCCAGGUACUUUGUGGAAGCCGGAAGACGAUCAAGCUCAACGAAGAA